RNAcentral lists this small RNA (269 nucleotides) under Otolemur garnettii (small-eared galago). RNAcentral describes it as "Metazoan signal recognition particle RNA (ENSOGAG00000030832.1)". Lineage: Eukaryota; Metazoa; Chordata; Mammalia; Primates; Galagidae. The record is from RNAcentral.
GCUGGGCAUUGUGGCGGGUGCCUAUAGUUCCAGCUACUAGGAAGGCUGAGGCAAGAGAAUUGCUUGAGUCCAAGGGUUUGAGGUUGCUGUUAGCUGUGAUGCCACAGCACUUUACCGAAGGUGAAAAAAUGACACUCUGCCUCAAUAAAAAAGAAAGAAAUCGUUUCUUUUCUAGAGACAGAGUCUCACUUUGUCGCCCUUGGUAGAGUGCUGUGGUGUCACAGCUCACAGCAACCUCCAGCUCUUGGGCUUAGGUGAUUCUCUUGCCU